UCCACAAAAACUCAUUAUGAGUAGGCUGAAAAUAAUUCAAAUUCUCUGUAUUUUAAAUAGUUUGUUAGCAUAAAUAAAUGAAAGGAUGAGAAAACCUACUUUUGACCACCCCAGCCAAUAAGCUUCAAGCUACACAGAGAAUAAAGAACCAAGGAAGAAAAAUAAUCCACACUCAUUAACAAUAAUUCCCAUAUCAGAAAAUGGCUCCACAACAACUUCCUCCUACGAACCAACGGCAUUUCCAACUCCAGUAGAUGACGUCACUUCUGGUCCCGCAAUGAUGAAUGGCACUUCUAUCCCAGACUGAUGACAUCACUUCCGUCGAUACACCAUCGAUGCAUUUGCUAUUCCCGAACAACUUGCCCAACAAGUCCACAAACAGGAGAACCAAGGAAGAAAAAUAAUCCACACUCACUAACAAUAAUUCCCAUAUCAGAAAAUGGCUCCACAACAAUAUCUUCCUACGAACCAACAGCACUUCCAACUUCUGUAGAUGAUGUCACUUCUGGUCCCGCACUGAUGACGUCACAUUCUGCCAACUCAUUUUCUUUAACCAUUUUCUCUCUGUAUAAAAACGACCAUCACAGCUCUAUUGUUUGUCUGAUGUAUGAGUUUCAAAUCGCAUUUUGGCCAA
Long non-coding RNA from Polypterus senegalus (gray bichir), 634 nucleotides. RefSeq lists it as uncharacterized. The transcript is spliced from 3 exons. The record is from RefSeq and is a predicted model, not a curated record. Lineage: Eukaryota; Metazoa; Chordata; Cladistia; Polypteriformes; Polypteridae.